RNAcentral lists this ribosomal RNA (600 nucleotides) under uncultured bacterium. RNAcentral's name for it is "bacterial SSU rRNA". It matches the Rfam family "Bacterial small subunit ribosomal RNA", at positions 59 to 654 of the family's 1533-position model. The record is from RNAcentral.
AAGUCGAACGGCAGCACGGAGCUUGCUCUGGUGGCGAGUGGCGAACGGGUGUGUAAUAUAUCGGAACGUACCCUAGAGUGGGGGAUAACGUAGCGAAAGUUACGCUAAUACCGCAUACGAUCUAAGGAUGAAAGUGGGGGAUCGCAAGACCUCAUGCUCGUGGAGCGGCCGAUAUCUGAUUAGCUAGUUGGUAGGGUAAAAGCCUACCAAGGCAUCGAUCAGUAGCUGGUCUGAGAGGACGACCAGCCACACUGGAACUGAGACACGGUCCAGACCCCUACGGGAGGCAGCAGUGGGGAAUUUUGGACAAUGGGCGAAAGCCUGAUCCAGCAAUGCCGCGUGAGUGAAGAAGGCCUUCGGGUUGUAAAGCUCUUUUGUCAGGGAAGAAACGGUGAAAGCUAAUAUCUUUUGCUAAUGACGGUACCUGAAGAAUAAGCACCGGCUAACUACGUGCCAGCAGCCGCGGUAAUACGUAGGGUGCAAGCGUUAAUCGGAAUUACUGGGCGUAAAGCGUGCGCAGGCGGUUUUGUAAGUCUGAUGUGAAAUCCCCGGGCUCAACCUGGGAAUUGCAUUGGAGACUGCAAGGCUAGAAUCUGGCAG